This is a long non-coding RNA of Phyllostomus discolor (pale spear-nosed bat), 1277 nucleotides long. RefSeq lists it as uncharacterized. The record is from RefSeq and is a predicted model, not a curated record. Lineage: Eukaryota; Metazoa; Chordata; Mammalia; Chiroptera; Phyllostomidae. The transcript has 2 exons.
ACCUUGGUUACCAGCGCGGCUGCUGUGGUGUCGCAGUGCUCGUCCUCAAGUAAUCCCUAUUUUACUUAGUAGUGCCAGAUUCACCUAACUCUUAUUGCCGUAUAUCGCUACAAUUGUUUUAUUUUAGUGUAAUCUCUUACUAUGCCUAAUUUAUAAAUUAAACUCUGUCAUAUGUAUGAUGGUUUCAGGCAUCCACUGGGGGUCUUAGAAUGUAUCCCCUACAGAUAAGCAAGAGCUCUAACUGUGUUAGAAACAACACGGGCUUUGGAUGAGAAGAAGGGACGUUUGACUCUUGGCUCUGCAUUAAUGAGCUUUAUGAUCUUGGAUAUAUUACAGAUCUCAGUUUCCUCACCUGUAAGUCAGGAUAAUGAGAUCUGCUUUGUAGAGCUGUGAAAAGAUCAAUAAUGAUGCUUUUAGUGUCUGCCGCAUCAGUAGCUCAGGCGGUACCUGGUAGUGGCAGUGGUAAUGGGAAGAAAGAACUGACGCUUCCUACAUAAAAUCCCCAUGUUAGAAAGGCCAAAUCUUUAUUCUUUAUUUUCUUUCCACCUUCUAAUCUUCUAAUCUGUGCUUCCUCACUUUAAAAAGUAAAUGAUUUUAAAAUCUUUUCCAACACUAAAAUUUGAUUUUUAAUGACAAAAAUUGCAAUAAACUGAUGUAUAGUAAAGGCCUAUUGUGUGCAGAGAAGGUCACAUAAGAUUAAGUUAAAAUCUCCCAAAAAACAUCUUUAGAUUUUCAUUAUUUUUCUUCCUUCACACAGUAUUCCCAAUGGUAUCGCCGCAUAUAUGAUCAAAAGGAGCAGCAAGUGACAAUCACUCCUCUACACACCUGUGCUGCCUGACAGGAACACCACGAGCCCUGUGUGGCCGCGUGAGGCCCUGAAGUGUGGCCAGUCGGAGUGGGAACGUGCUGGGGGGUGUGGACUGCACGCUGGGUCUCGAGCCUUACGUUGGGGAAAAAGAAUGGAAUAUGUCUCCUUGACAGUUUGAUGUUGAUUGCAUUUAAAAUGAUAAUAUUUUAGACAUACCCGGCUAAAUAAAACAUAUUAUUAAAAUUAAUUUCAUCUUUCUUUUUUACCUUUUUUAAUGUGGCUAUUAUCAUUACCAAGUGGCUCACAUAAUAUUUCUAUUGCUGUAAACAAAUAGGAAGUCUAUAUAAUGUUAGUAAUCUCCAAAGCAUUAUUGUCACUAAAUUUUAGUAAACUUAAUUCUCUAAGUUAUAAUAUCUGUAAGGUUUUUUUCUGUACAUACUCUCUGGGGAGUAAAAUCAGUACCCACUCU